RNAcentral lists this ribosomal RNA (449 nucleotides) under uncultured bacterium. RNAcentral describes it as "bacterial SSU rRNA". It matches the Rfam family "Bacterial small subunit ribosomal RNA", at positions 354 to 796 of the family's 1533-position model. The record is from RNAcentral.
GUGGGGAAUAUUGGACAAUGGGCGGAAGCCUGAUCCAGCCAUGCCGCGUGUGUGAAGAAGGUCUUCGGAUUGUAAAGCACUUUAAGUUGGGAGGAAGGGCAGUAAGCUAAUACCUUGCUGUUUUGACGUUACCGACAGAAUAAGACCGGCUAACUUCGUGCCAGCAGCCGCGGUAAUACGAAGGGUGCAAGCGUUAAUCGGAAUUACUGGGCGUAAAGCGCGCGUAGGUGGUUCAGCAAGUUGGAGGUGAAAUCCCCGGGCUCAACCUGGGAACUGCCUCCAAAACUACUGAGCUAGAGUACGGUAGAGGGUAGUGGAAUUUCCUGUGUAGCGGUGAAAUGCGUAGAUAUAGGAAGGAACACCAGUGGCGAAGGCGACUACCUGGACUGAUACUGACACUGAGGUGCGAAAGCGUGGGGAGCAAACAGGAUUAGAUACCCUAGUAGUCC